GUCCACGCGGUAAACGAUGGGGGCUAGGUGUGGGGGGUAUCGACCCCCUCCGUGCCGAAGCUAACGCAUUAAGCCCCCCGCCUGGGGAGUACGGCCGCAAGGUUGAAACUCAAAGGAAUUGACGGGGGCCCGCACAAGCGGUGGAGCAUGUGGUUUAAUUCGACGCAACGCGAAGAACCUUACCUGGGCUGGACAAGCAGGAAGUAGGAAACCGAAAGGGGACCGACCUGUCAAGUCAGGGACCUGCUCAGGUGGUGCAUGGCUGUCGU
Molecule: ribosomal RNA, 269 nt
Filed under: uncultured bacterium
Lineage: Bacteria
Description: partial 16S ribosomal RNA
Rfam family: Bacterial small subunit ribosomal RNA
Source: RNAcentral